This 477-nucleotide ribosomal RNA is filed under the name uncultured bacterium. RNAcentral describes it as "partial 16S ribosomal RNA". It matches the Rfam family "Bacterial small subunit ribosomal RNA", at positions 28 to 523 of the family's 1533-position model. The record is from RNAcentral.
GACGAACGCUGGCGGCGUGCUUAACACAUGCAAGUCGAACGGUAAGGCCCUUCGGGGUACACGAGUGGCGAACGGGUGAGUAACACGUGGGUGAUCUGCCCUGCACUUCGGGAUAAGCCUGGGAAACUGGGUCUAAUACCGGAUACGAGGCUUGGGGGCAUCCCCGAGCCUGGAAAGAAUUUCGGUCAAGGAUGAGCUCGCGGCCUAUCAGCUAGUUGGUGAGGUAAUGGCUCACCAAGGCGACGACGGGUAGCCGGCCUGAGAGGGUGACCGGCCACACUGGGACUGAGACACGGCCCAGACUCCUACGGGAGGCAGCAGUGGGGAAUAUUGCACAAUGGGCGCAAGCCUGAUGCAGCAACGCCGCGUGAGGGAUGAAGGCCUUCGGGUUGUAAACCUCUUUUAGCAGGGAAGAAGCGAAAGUGACGGUACCUGCAGAAAAAGCACCGGCUAACUACGUGCCAGCCGCCGCAGUAA